Long non-coding RNA from Siniperca chuatsi (mandarin fish), 3533 nucleotides. RefSeq lists it as uncharacterized. NCBI's taxonomy places the organism in Eukaryota, Metazoa, Chordata, Actinopteri, Centrarchiformes, Sinipercidae. The transcript has 2 exons. The record is from RefSeq and is a predicted model, not a curated record.
UGUAUUUUUAAAAUAGUUCACUAUCUAAGCAAUACAGACUGUAUUGUCAAACCAGGGUGUCAUUCGGUUGAACAUUAAGGUUUAAUUAACGCACACUCCCACCUGAAACUCACAGAGUCACACCCAAAUUGUCACAUGAUCCACUGGACUUAUGCACACGCCCACCUCACAUGACACAUGGGCUGGGGUGCAUGUGACCAUUUUAAAUAACAGGUUUGUUUCACUUCAAGAAGGACAGGAAGAAGAUCUUGCUGCAACUAUUCAGUGCUUUGCUCAGUCAUGCGUUUAUGUGCUGCUGACGUUUUGCAUGCGUUGUGAAUCUGGGGUCAGUCCAAAACUUGCCGUAAAGAUGUUUCUUUCAUUUUGUUUUCCAUCCAGUGAAAUGAAUGAAAAAAAUAAAGAUUUAGCAGAGUAAUCAUAGCCUGUAAAUGGUCUGUGAGAGCAAUAAUGCAGGCUGCUAGUAUAUAAUACCGUACAAAAUGGGGCGAUGGCACACUGCAAGAUUGACUUCACCAUUUUCAAACAUGAGAUGCAUCAAAACGCUUUUUCACAGAUCACAGUUGGACAAAGGUGAACUCUGACCUGCAAGGCAGCUGGAGCCAGCCAGCCAGAGCUCGCAUUAAACAGGACAUUCUUGACUUUGUCAGUCAAAUGGGAUUCAGUUGAAAUGAGUGUGAGAUGGAGUGAAUAUUUGCAGUAAGUGAGUAAGUGUGAAUGUGCUUUUAUCAGGAAAUCCAGGAUGGGAGUUAGUUGGGAUUAUUCUUCCCUCCCCUGUUGUUCCCGGACAAGGAACUGAGCUUAGAAAAGUGUAAAACCUUAGUGAAUAUUGUACUAGAUUGUAAUUUUAUGUAGGAAAAUACAAAAAAAAAAAUCUGAAUAUCUGAUAAUCUGAAUAUAUACUGUUAUUAGCUGUAUUUAGUUUGGGGGAGUGCAGCCUUGCAUUGCAUUUCACGGCAAAUACUGAAUUCAGCUCUCCAAGAUGACAAAUUGUUUACACUAUGGUUCUCUCAGCACUUUAUUUAUUUAUUAUUUUUUAGAAACCAAGCCAUUCAGACUGUAGCUGCAUCGAAAUGUUGGAUUCCCUCCUGCCUCCAGGUAAAAUUAAAUAAAAUCAUAGUUAGGCACAUUUUGUGAAUAGAAUAUAGAAUAAUAAAUAACAAAAUAGACUUUAUUGGGGAAAAAGGGGGGAAAACGUAAUGUAAGGUUACUGUAGGGACUUUUGGCUAAAAGAGGUCACUAAAGGUCAAUUAAGGCAAAUGUUAUGUCACCAUUAUUUAGUGUAUGUAUAUUAUGUGCUAUUGUAAGAGAUGCAGAUGAAGAAGAACAGUAAUUGUACAUAGCAGAUCAAAAAGAAUCAGUCAGUAUCAUUCAGUAGAAAACAAACACAAAUCAGAAUGAUUAGAACAGAAAAAUGAGGAGCAGAACAGAUAGAACUCACCAGAAUAAAAAUAAAGCCAAUCUCCCCCACAUCUUUUUUUCCCCUGAGCUGCUGUCUGUGGGUGUGAUGAAUAGAUGGGAACGGUUCAUUACAGCCCUAUUGGUAUUUUCCGUUCUUUCAAGAGACCCUGGCCACUGCAUUCACCGUGCGUUGUUGCACAUGUGCAUGUUUUGUGUUCCACUCUCUAAAUAGAGUCAAUCCCAUGUAGAUCAAGAAAAGAGGAAGAAGUUAAAACAUACGUGUGGCUGCUGCUUAUCUGUCAAGAUGUGUGAUUUUGAGAUGUGGCUACAUGCCUGUGAGCUGUUGUUAAAUUUGAAUGGUGUAUAGCCGAGCUUGGUGCUCAUGCACAGGAUGCAAAUGAAAGCUGGAACCAGGUACACGACAGCUGAUUCCCAUGCACUCACUGGCUGCACACCGCAGUGGGGUCAUGGUAGAGGAGGAAGUGAAAGUUGCUUAAGACAUGAGAAUACCUUCAGUAUUUUAGACCUACUGCGUGACCCUGUGAUGAACUUUAAUUAUACUAUUUAAGACCACAAUGUGCAACUGCUGAAAUAGUAAAAAUGUUUUGUAUUCAGAGGGUUUUCACCAAUAUGGAAACUUGGCUGAACCAAUCUGAUGCCAAAUUAGUAUGGUGCUAGUGUUGAAGUGAAAGUGUACUGGGGUGGGGCAGCCUACACCCAUUUAAAAGAAUUCCUGUACUUGUAUAGUAGAGCCCAGCAACACAUUAAGUACUUGUUUUAACUAAAGUUCAAAUCUAAUCCUGUAGACCAAAAGCCUACAGAAGGCCAGAGUGGGUGAGCAUCACUCUGACAGCUACCUCACCUCAGCCGGUUCACCCAAAUGAUGUUUUAUCUCCAGUACUUUUUAUUUAAUAACCACUGACUCCUGAAGUAAUCACUCAGACCCAUUUUUGAAAGACUCAACCAGUGUUUUUGCACAUUUUAGCCCAUUUACUCCAUAUCACAUAUAUCUUAAAUAACUGUUCCAAAAAUGUCUUGGCAUUAAAACAUACUUUUAUUAACACAUUCUCAAUAAGAAGUCUUAAGUUGUCUCUUUCACUGUAUCUGUAGCGAAGACGAAAGGGAAUAAUGCUCCCCCAUAGGAAUUAGGCAUUAUGGAAAUUUGCAGUAAAGUAAUAGGGAUCACCAUGCCAUUUAUGUUAUCCAUUUAAACACAUUUUAUCCUGUCAAACCCUCAUCACCCUCUGUUCACUGAGUUCAGUUUACUCCUAGCUAGCAAGCAAUAUUUUGCCCUAUCUCUUCAUUUAAAUACAAAGGUGAAAACUGAUGUACUUUUCAGAAAUAUUUAUACUUUCAUCACAUAAAAAAAUGUAAUCUGAAAUUAAAGACUUACACAGAGAGGAAUAGAUUAUUAUAGUCAUCUACAUAACACCCGUAGAGUGAUGAUUCAUAAGCCCUAUGUAGGACAGUAUCACAUAGUCACUGUUGUACAGACUAAUCUGGUAAAACUGAAAAAUUCAUCACUUUGUCGUGCAUGUGUGUAUAUGCGUGUGUGUGCAUAUGUAUUGUGAUCAAGACAGACGGUCUCAUCCUAGUGGAAAGAAACAGCUCACUACUGUCUCCAUGGAAACAGGCAAGAGCCGAUGGAAGUGUGUGUCUCUGUGUAUGUGUGUAAUAUGUCUGUCUAAUGGGAAAGAGACGGAGAGAAUCCCCCAUUCUAUUCUAUUCAAUUCUAUUCUGUUCUGACCUAUAAACCUCAAAUAAAUAAGUGCACAAAUACAAGGGAGUAUUGUCAAUUUUUUGUGUGCAUCAUAAUAAUUAACUUCAUCCAGAGAUGUGUCAGUCCUGUGAAGCAUUUCCAUGGUGCUUCUCUCUGCCUUCUGCACAAUGUAUGCUGGAAGAAGCCACAUCCCUGUGACUGAUGAAGAAGUAGGCAGGUGCAGGGCUGCCAUCAGAAAGGCUCGCUCUAUCUGACCCAGCCCUCCAAACGCCAGCAGCAUCUGAAGAAAAAUGAGAAGUAUGCAGGAGAUACAAAGCAAUCAACUUUCAAAUUAACAUCCCAUCAACUUGGCGUCCAAUCCAGUGGAGUGACCUCUCAAUGAAUGAAUAAAGCAGUAACCCAGUCAAUCAAUUCA